UGCUGACGAUGCAAAAGAAUAUUUGCUAUCAGAAACAUGGUGAUGACAGUUAAACCACCAAGAUCACCGACA
Molecule: small nucleolar RNA, 72 nt
Organism: Nannospalax galili (Upper Galilee mountains blind mole rat)
Lineage: Eukaryota; Metazoa; Chordata; Mammalia; Rodentia; Spalacidae
Gene: SNORD24
Rfam family: Small nucleolar RNA SNORD24
About the family: U24 is a member of the C/D class of snoRNA which contain the C (UGAUGA) and D (CUGA) box motifs. C/D box snoRNAs have been shown to act as methylation guides for a number of RNA targets. U24 is encoded within an intron of the gene for ribosomal protein L7a in mammals, chicken and Fugu.
Source: Ensembl